GUUUUGUUUGAAAAUAAUUAAUUAUUGGUGAAAAUAUAUAAAAUCAAAUCAAAUCAAAUACUACAUGUAGCCGAAAACGAAAACCAAAACAGUGGUUGAAUUAGCAGCACAAUUAGGACGGAGAAUCAGAGUCAGAAAGGACAUACCCUAUGCUGUUAGGGUUCUUCUUCUUCUUCAUUGAAGCCUAAGCUUCUUUCCCUUCUCCUGAAACCGUCUGUUUCCUUUCCAUUGCAGAACUAGAGAUGGGCAAUGCCACAGAAAAUGAGGAUGAAUCUGCUAAGCCACUGCCACAUUCUCCGGCCACUGACGUGCCGCUUGAAGCACAGCAAGUUCCAGUUGAACAACUUGACCAUGCUUCUCCUACUCGCCCGGUCCCCAGGGACCAGGAUGAGCCAUGCCCCUCUGAAAAUGGUAAUCUUCUAUCUGCAGCUCCCAAGGUUAAUAUUGUGGAAUUGAAGUCCCGCCCACAACAAUUUCACUUUGAGACACCCUCCAGUGAUAAUGGCUUGCAAUUGAAGUCUAAUCUUCAAAAAUCUCAGACUGAGGCAGCCCCCACUGAUAACAUCGUGAGCGAUCCUCCACAAUCGCAGACUGAUGCAGCCAUAAAUGAUAACACUGCUGAGUUCAAGGCCAAUACUCAACAACCUAAGACUGAGACAGUUCCCAACGAUAAUAGUGCAGAGUUGAAGACCAACAUUGAACAAUCUCAGACUGAAACAGUUCUUAAUGAUGACAGUGUGGGGUUGAAGACCAGUCCUCAAAACCCUCAGGCUGAGGCAGCUCCUAAUGGUAAUGAUGUGAACUUGAGUUCCAGUCCAAAACAACGUCAGACUGAAGAAGCCCCUGCUCCUCGUGAUAAAAGUAUGGUGUUGAAAUCAGCCUUACAUGAAUCCCUGCAGGUUUCUCCUUCCCCAACUCCUUUAGAGGGCGAGAAAAGUUUACUCAAGCCUGAAACUGAACCUGCUACCGAGAAAAGACCUGAAGCCAAUGAAACUUUUGAUUAUAAAUCUAAAUAUUACGGUAUUGAUGGCACCACCAUUUCAACCAGUUGUCUUGAAACGUCUAAACCUCCUGCAAAUGCCAAAGUUGAACCUUCUGAAGUACCAGAAAAUAAAUCUGGCCAUCAUGCUGGCACCCUGCUUAAAGAGCAAAAUGAACCUGCUACACCUCAUGCAGGAUCUUCAAGCAUUAAAACUGAACUUGAAAACAAGAGAGAAUUGAAUAAUGUAAUGAAUAAAACAGAUAUUGCUACACCCAAAAGUAAUGGCAACUCAAGUUCAAAGCACUCGUUUCUUUUGGAUGAUGAUCAUGAUGGUAAUGAGUCGGGAACAGAGGAGGAGCAAUGGACAUUUAUGAAGGAGCUUGAAAAUUUCUUUAGGGAGAGGAGCAUGGAGUUCAAGCCUCCUAAGUUCUACGGAGAGGGAUUAAAUUGUCUGAAGUUGUGGAGAGCUGUUAUGAGAUUGGGUGGCUAUGAUAAGGUGACUUCAUGUAAGCUGUGGCGGCAAGUGGGAGAAUCCUUUAAACCCCCAAAGACAUGUACUACUGUUUCAUGGACAUUUCGAGGGUUUUAUGAGAAGGCACUUCUUGAUUAUGAAAGACAUAAAAUGUGUGGUGGUGAGCUUAAUGUACCCCUUAGUUCCAACUCAGAACCCAUGAACAUUGACAGUCAGGCACCUGGAUCGGGUAGAGCACGGAGAGAUGCUGCAGCACGUGCAAUGCAGGGUUGGCACUCACAACGUCUUCUUGGUAAUGGAGAAGUUAGUGAUCCUAUCAUUAAGGAUAAGAAUUCUCUGUCUUUACAAAAGCGUGAAAAACAGCUUAAAAGCUUAGGUAAGUAGUAGGGUUAUUACUUUCUUACUGAUGAUUAGAUUAUUACUUCUGCUUGUAACAAGCUUAAAACAGUUUCCAAUUUGGAACUUUAAAUGAUAACUCAGGUUUACUUAAACGCAAGAAAUCGUCUUACAUGGAACAUGCUGUUAAAGCUGCACGCACCAAAACAUCUAAACCACAGUUAAGAUUUUUGUUACCUAGUUUGUUUUGUUUGUUUUCAAAGAUUUACUUAAGUUGAAAGUGAUGUCAAGAGGAUUAUGCAAAGUGGUGUUGAUUCAAUAUGUUAAUGCUGGUGCUUUUUAUUAGAUUGGAUGUAGAGGUGGUUGACCUUGGACCUCCAGCUGAUUGGGUGAAGAUCAAUGUACAGAGAAUGGUAAGUUCCUGCAUUACCAUUUGAGUGGAAGGCAAUGGGAAAAUUUGUACAAGUUCUUGCUUGAAUUAAAAAAAUUAUUUUUACAGAAAGAUUGCUUUGAGGUAUAUGCUUUGGUACCAGGGCUUCUUCGUGAAGAGGUAAGUACCUCAAAUCAACUUUACAUUUUUCUAGUUUACGGUUAUGUUUUUAAUUAUUUCCUUUUGGAAGGCGUCCUGGUGUCAUUUAGAAGCAAAUCAUCAAACAGUUGUCACCUGAUUAGAGUUGCUUAUUAUGAGGUAGAAAUAGAGGUUGUAUAGGCCAUUUUUAGCUGCUUAGUCAAUUAGUUGUGUUCUCUAGCAGAUACCUAUUUGGUGCCACCGCAUUUGAAUUUUAGGCAAUCUAAAGGGCAUGAGCUUUCGUUAUAACUAUGUACAAACAUGUAGUCAAAUGAAUGGCCAACUCAUGCAUGAGAGUAGGCUCCUAAGACGGUUAAUGUUGUGAUUGCUUAGUUGUUACACCUUUGAAUCCAUUCCCUGCAAUAUUUGAUGAGAAUCUGCGGCAGGGAUAUGAGAAUGCAACCCAUGAGAUAGGGAGUUGGAUUGAAAAGAUUGGUUAGAGCAAGUUUUGUUUACUAAAUUAUGCACAAAACGAGGGCAGUUGCUAUAAUCUUGGUUUAAUUCAUCUUAAAACUAUUUACUUCCUGGCAAGUGUGCAUCCGUGUGCUUCAGCUAAGACAUUAUUUUUCAAACUCAGGUUCGAGUUCAAUCAGACCCAGCAGGGCGAUUGGUUAUCAGUGGUGAACCUGAGCAUCCUGAUAAUCCUUGGGGUGUCACACCGUUCAGAAAGGUGGUUAGCUUACCCUCGAGGAUUGACCCACAUCAAACUUCCGCUGUGGUCACCCUGCACGGACAACUAUUUAUUCGUGUCCCAUUUGAGCAGUCAGACUAGAUAGGAGUUUCACAAAUGUCUAUUGUCCAUUCCCUCCAAUAUUUCUAUUAAGUGGGUGUGCCUACAUUUUUAGUUUUGAACUCUGAUGUAUGUUUCUCCUAAUAGGUAAUAGAUUAUUAUAAUUUCUUAAUAUUUAGCUAGGAGGCUUUUCAAAUAGCUUGUCUUCUUUUGUUAUCUGGUUAAUAUAUCUUUUACUUUUGUUGGGAGGCUUUUACCAAAUUACUCGCAUACUAUAGACUCGUGGGUAUAGUUUUUCCAAUCUGCUUUCUAAAGUUCAUAACAAUUUGCCAUCUUCCGCUAUAUUGUUUCGGUUUCAAGCGGGCCCCAAACAGUUAAUUUAGCACUUGCAAUGAGUACAAUUUUAGCCCAUUCGGUUUGCAUGGCUAUUUCUUUGAUUAUAGCAUAUUUUAAAUAUGUACUCUCUACCUAUUUAAACCAAAAUAUUGAAGAUGCAUUUAAGUUCCAAAAUGUUACAAAUAUCAUAAGCAUGCCGUUUUGAUGGGGAUGAAAAAGAACAAAAAUUACAAGUCCUCAGGUUAUGGUUUAAUUUAACACUCUAUUGAAGUUAUGGGGAAGGAUUCACUACAAAAUUUCAGUGGACAAAAGUUGAUUUUGUCCGCUCCAUCUACCUUGAAACCCGCCUGUUUUUAACUUCAUCUCCCUCAGCUACCCUAUCACUGCCUUGCAUCUUGAUGAUUUGGCAUAUUAAGCGAAGUAGCAGGUGGCAUUUGCUUGUGAAGCAACUCCUUCCUCAUCCACGUUCUCCAAUUUGGGACUCCAAAAUCCUCUCCUGUGUUCAUAUGUUUAGGCUCUAGUUCUCCAUCCUUAUUCAUUCAAUCUCCACACCCUUUAAACAGUACUAGAAUAUCAAUCAAGUAUGCUUUUGUAAAAUGUAAUAGUGGAAGAUGAAACAACAGUGAUACAACUGCAACUAAGGCCUUAAGGUGCUAAAAAUAACAGGCUCCGAUGAAAUAAGUUCUUUUUACCAAGUUUUAUAUCUGAUCAGGCUCGGAUAAACGCCCAGCACAAACACACACAAAGGAAAACAACAAACUGGGAAAUAUAUGAUUCCCCAUAUAAGAUAGCUAGCAAAAGAAAUACUUUUAGCAACAAAUAAUUGACACACAAAAUCAUGGAGAGAGUACAUCUACAAAUUGAAAUUUUGCUAAUUUUCCUAUAAAACCUGCAAUUGUCUUUAUGUAGCAGUUGCCAUCGACGCCAAGUCCACUUCUUCAUCAGAAUCAAUCACAUCUUCAUAGUCAUAAUAGGCAUUCACCUCUGGUCUUGGAGUAAUAGCUUCAAAACUAUGGAACUCUGUAUCAUCAAAAUCAGGGGGUUUUAAAACUAUGUAUGCCCCUUUAUUUUUGUAUCUCUCCUCCGUUGCCUGAAAUUGUGGGUAGUCUGGUGCACUAAACACAGUAAUUAGCUUUCCUGACUCCACAACAUGAUCUAUGGUGUACCCUUCAUCCAUUCCUGCAAGACCAGGCCUCUUUUCUCUUGCAUCAGGACCUUCAUGGGAUCUGAUUAUUAGCUUUAGCUGGAACUUUUUCAAAAAUUCUUCAGUACAAUCUGGUCCCCACAAUAGACCAAUGCCUCUUUCUUUAUUCGGUGAAAGUCCAGGUUUCAUUGUUGGAUCAGACCAUAAAACAUCACCAGGAAUCAGGUUCAAACCUUCCCAUGGGGGGUCAAGAACUGAUCUUCGAGCCUUGGACAAUUCCUCAAAAGAACCAAGAGAUAAGGGGGUGGCCUCAGGAUUAAAAAUUAUUCUCCGGUUCUUCUUUCCUUUAGAUCUCUUUGAUGGGGUGAUGGAGACACUGCGGAAAAGUCCUCCAUGAGCAGUAUAUACACGGCCAGCUAUAAUAGAGGCCAAGGGAAGCCCUUCAAAGCAUCCCAAACACUUCCUAUAUGCAUGCUUACCUUUAUCAUCGUACUUCACCAAAACUUCCUUCUCAAAGCCAUAAACAGACGUGCAAUACUUGGAUUCGUGAUUGCCACGGAGGAGAUACACCCUAUGUGGCAAAAAGACCUUCCAAGCUAAUAAGAGCAAGAAAGUCUCGAGACCCCAUGCGCCUCGAUCAACAUAAUCACCGUUGAAGACGAAGAAGCGAUUGUCAGAAGGGAAUCCAGCAUCCUGCAAGAGGAAAAGGAGGUCAUGGAGCUGGCCAUGAACAUCUCCUACAACGACAACAGUGGAAUCAGGAAGAGAGAGACAAUCGUCAAUUGUGACGCAAUUGGACUCCUUAUGAAGGAUCUUGGAAGCGGUGAGGACGAGAGAGUCAAAGACGGAAACAGGCAAGACGGAAGGAAAAUCUGAGGGAGGGAGAUUUCUAGAAGACCAGUCCAAGGCAGAAGAGAAAUGUCGAAUCCAAUCGAAACUGAGCUCGGCAUCGGGAGGCCAAGAGAGAGGAAUAUCAACAGGCGGUGAAGAAGUGGUGAUGGUGGAGGAAGAGGAGCAACAUGCGGUGGUGGCCGCUUCAUCUAGGGAAUUGUGGGCGGUGAUUGGGUUCGGAUCUGAUGGACGAACAGGUUGGGAAGAAUCUGAUGACAUGUCAAUUAAAAAAGAAUUAAAAAAAAAAAAGAAAGUGACUUUCCAAAACCCUAACGAAUAAUGCAGUAGUGCAGCAGGAGAGUGAUGAGCUGCAGAAGUGGGAGUUUCCUCAAAUUAUUACUAUUAUUGAAAAGCUACGAGGAGGCUCAGCAUAAUAAAACAGCAAAAUUACCAUAUUUACCAUUCUCCGGGUCAUCCUCACCCUGCCUUGCCACCGAGGUAGUAGCAAGGCUUUGGUGUUGGCAUUAUCGUCUGCAUAUGGUUAACAUCUCUCAAAUUUCAUAUCAGAAUGAUAGCUACUUUCCUAUAGAAUUAAGAUAAAUCAAUAAUAUUAAUGAUUAAUUGCGAGCUUUUAAUUUAAAGAAGUUAUGAU
This 6051-nucleotide unclassified non-coding RNA is filed under the name Hevea brasiliensis (rubber tree). Lineage: Eukaryota; Viridiplantae; Streptophyta; Magnoliopsida; Malpighiales; Euphorbiaceae. The record is from RNAcentral.